RNAcentral lists this ribosomal RNA (1448 nucleotides) under uncultured organism. Its description in RNAcentral is "SSU rRNA". It matches the Rfam family "Bacterial small subunit ribosomal RNA". The record is from RNAcentral.
GGCAGGCCUAACACAUGCAAGUCGAACGGUAACAGGAAGCAUCUUGCUGCUUUGCUGACGAGUGGCGGACGGGUGAGUAAUGUCUGGGAAACUGCCUGAUGGAGGGGGAUAACUACUGGAAACGGUAGCUAAUACCGCAUAACGUCGCAAGACCAAAGAGGGGGACCUUAGGGCCUCUUGCCAUCGGAUGUGCCCAGAUGGGAUUAGCUAGUAGGUGGGGUAACGGCUCACCUAGGCGACGAUCCCUAGCUGGUCUGAGAGGAUGACCAGCCACACUGGAACUGAGACACGGUCCAGACUCCUACGGGAGGCAGCAGUGGGGAAUAUUGCACAAUGGGCGCAAGCCUGAUGCAGCCAUGCCGCGUGUAUGAAGAAGGCCUUCGGGUUGUAAAGUACUUUCAGCGGGGAGGAAGGGAGUAAAGUUAAUACCUUUGCUCAUUGACGUUACCCGCAGAAGAAGCACCGGCUAACUCCGUGCCAGCAGCCGCGGUAAUACGGAGGGUGCAAGCGUUAAUCGGAAUUACUGGGCGUAAAGCGCACGCAGGCGGUUUGUUAAGUCAGAUGUGAAAUCCCCGGGCUCAACCUGGGAACUGCAUCUGAUACUGGCAAGCUUGAGUCUCGUAGAGGGGGGUAGAAUUCCAGGUGUAGCGGUGAAAUGCGUAGAGAUCUGGAGGAAUACCGGUGGCGAAGGCGGCCCCCUGGACGAAGACUGACGCUCAGGUGCGAAAGCGUGGGGAGCAAACAGGAUUAGAUACCCUGGUAGUCCACGCCGUAAACGAUGUCGACUUGGAGGUUGUGCCCUUGAGGCGUGGCUUCCGGAGCUAACGCGUUAAGUCGACCGCCUGGGGAGUACGGCCGCAAGGUUAAAACUCAAAUGAAUUGACGGGGGCCCGCACAAGCGGUGGAGCAUGUGGUUUAAUUCGAUGCAACGCGAAGAACCUUACCUGGUCUUGACAUCCACGGAAGUUUUCAGAGAUGAGAAUGUGCCUUCGGGAACCGUGAGACAGGUGCUGCAUGGCUGUCGUCAGCUCGUGUUGUGAAAUGUUGGGUUAAGUCCCGCAACGAGCGCAACCCUUAUCCUUUGUUGCCAGCGGUCCGGCCGGGAACUCAAAGGAGACUGCCAGUGAUAAACUGGAGGAAGGUGGGGACGACGUCAAGUCAUCAUGGCCCUUACGACCAGGGCUACACACGUGCUACAAUGGCGCAUACAAAGAGAAGCGACCUCGCGAGAGCAAGCGGACCUCAUAAAGUGCGUCGUAGUCCGGAUUGGAGUCUGCAACUCGACUCCAUGAAGUCGGAAUCGCUAGUAAUCGUGGAUCAGAAUGCCACGGUGAAUACGUUCCCGGGCCUUGUACACACCGCCCGUCACACCAUGGGAGUGGGUUGCAAAAGAAGUAGGUAGCUUAACCUUCGGGAGGGCGCUUACCACUUUGUGAUUCAUGACUGGG